CGGCAAACAGACUUUGAUCCGGAGAUGUCUGAAUGGGGGAACCCAGCCAUCAUAAGAUGGUUAUCUUGUACUGAAUACAUAGGUGCAAGAAGCGAACCAGGGGAACUGAAACAUCUAAGUACCCUGAGGAAAAGAAAUCAACCGAGAUUCCCUUAGUAGUGGCGAGCGAACGGGGACUAGCCCUUAAGUGGCUUUGAGAUUAGCGGAACGCUCUGGAAAGUGCGGCCAUAGUGGGUGAUAGCCCUGUACGCGAAAAUCUCUUAGUCAUGAAAUCGAG
This 277-nucleotide ribosomal RNA is filed under the name Klebsiella pneumoniae. Its description in RNAcentral is "partial 23S ribosomal RNA". It matches the Rfam family "Bacterial large subunit ribosomal RNA", at positions 87 to 412 of the family's 2925-position model. Lineage: Bacteria; Pseudomonadati; Pseudomonadota; Gammaproteobacteria; Enterobacterales; Enterobacteriaceae. The record is from RNAcentral.